UGUCUUGUCUGUCCUUCUCUCUCUCCUCUUUCCACGUGACUGUCUUGUCUGUCCUUCUCUCUCUCCUCUUUCCACGUGACUGUCUUGUCUGUCCUUCUCUCUCUCCUCUUUCCACGUGACUGUCUUGUUCCCUCCAUUCCUGUUUGAGGGAGGGACUCUUUUUAUUUUUUAUAGCUGACUAAUAUGUCAUGUAUCACAUACAACCAGGUACUUUCUACUAUUUACACCGACUUGGUGUUGAACAACUUGAAUUGUUUAGUUUGCGUACGUUGUUGUCCUGUGUGGUUGUUUGCUAGGAGAGCCUGUUUGAUAUUAGACCUGGGUUCAUAUAGUAUUUGACAUUUUAUAAAAAAUAAUUUCAGUGUUUGUUCUAGCCGGCCUGAAGUGCCAGAUGGGCGGGGUUUGCAGCGUUUAGACUCCAAUUGGUUCAUUAAUCCAGGCAAGAUCAAUCAAGCACAGUUUUAAGUCUUUGAAAUGAUUUCAAAUAGCAUUUGAACCCAGGUCCUUUUUUUUUUAGAUAGUUCUGUUUAUAUGCCACCAGGGCCGAUCCCAGCCCCCUCUAAACUGAACUGGCCUUCUGUCCCAAGUCCUUAGAGCAACAACUAGGAGAUAAGCCUAAAGCUGCUGUAGUAGUGUGUGUGUGUGUGUGUGUGCGUGUGCGUGUGCGUGUGCGCGUGCGCGUGCGUGUGUGUGUGUUGACUAAAGCCUCCUUUGGUGUUAGUAACAAAUGUUACCUCUUCACUACCCCAGUACAUUUCAUUUACACCAUCUUUACAUAAACUGCAAUAUCAGCAUUUAUAAAGGUUUGAGUUGGACCCUACAAUCAACCAGGAAACCUUCCCACAAAUUAAGUCUAGUCCUGGACUUAAAAACAUACUCAAUGGAGAAUCCAUAUUGAAAUAGCUUCUUAGUCCAGCACUAUCUUUCAUUUGUGUCCAGGAAGUUGGUGUGGAGCCUACUACACCGAGGUUCAACUUUAACCUCUCCGGUGAGAAUCAACAGGGACACAUCGAGUUUUAACGUUUUGAAUCCAAAGAUCAUUUUUAAUUGUAUUUAUUUUCUCUCUGAAUUGCCCCACCAGCCACAGGGUGGACAGACAGACAGACAGACAGUUGGUAGGAGAUAGUGUCUAGAUACCGCAGGGCCACAGGGUGGACAGACAGACAGACAGUUGGUAGGGGAUAGUGUCUAGAUACCGCAUGGGUGGACAGACAUACAGACAGACAGUUGGUAGGAGAUAGUGUCUAGAUACCACAAGGCCACAGGGUGGACAGACAGACAGACAGACAGUUGGUAGGAGAUAGUGUCUAGAUACCGCAUGGGUGGACAGACAUACAGACAGACAGUUGGUAGGAGAUAGUGUCUAGAUACCACAAGGCCACAGGGUGCACAGACAGACAGUUGGUAGGAGAUAGUGUCUAGAUACCACAAGGCCACAGGGUGGACAGACAGACAGACAGACAGUUGGUAGGAGAUAGUGUCUAGAUACCGCAUGGGUGGACAGACAUACAGACAGACAGUUGGUAGGAGAUAGUGUCUAGAUACCACAAGGCCACAGGGUGCACAGACAGACAGUUGGUAGGAGAUAGUGUCUAGAUACCACAAGGCCACAGGGUGGACAGACAGACAGACAGACAGACAGUUGGUAGGAGAUAGUGUCUAGAUACCGCAUGGGUGGACAGACAUACAGACAGACAGUUGGUAGGAGAUAGUGUCUAGAUACCACAAGGCCACAGGGUGCACAGACAGACAGUUGGUAGGAGAUAGUGUCUAGAUACCACAAGGCCACAGGGUGGACAGACAGACAGACAGACAGUUGGUAGGAGAUAGUGUCUAGAUACCGCAUGGGUGGACAGACAUACAGACAGACAGUUGGUAGGAGAUAGUGUCUAGAUACCACAAGGCCACAGGGUGCACAGACAGACAGUUGGUAGGAAAUAAAUAGACAGUGCCAGACAGACAGUUGGUAGGAAAUAGAUAGACAGUGCCUAGAUACCUUCCUCUAAAGCCAGGAACACAUUUAGAAUGAGUCCCAAAUGGCACCCUAUUCUCAUAGGGUCCUGGUCAAAGUAGUGCACUAUAAACUGAAUAGGCUGCCAUUUGGGAUGCAUACUUAGCCUUUUUUUUUUUUUUUAAGUUUCUGUCAAAUCUGAGGUGUGCCAAUUUGGGAUUUAUCUCACCACUUGAGGUUUGAAAACGUCUGACAAUCGUAGAUGUUUGUGAAGCACUACUUUGAGGUGUUACUAACAUUUGAUACAGGAUCAAAGUUGAAAUGUACCUGCAGGAAAUCAACUGUAUAUGUUUCUAAUAUAUGAGAAAGGAAGUCAAACUCAAUAGGACUUUUCUAUUGAGAGAAUGAGUCGAUAGAUUAUUAUUAUUAUUAGCUUAUCAGCACCGUGUACUCUCACUGAGGACCUAUAAGAAGCAGUUUCACCUUUGUCCCGCCCCCUUCUCACCAGUCACACACCUUUUCUCGUAUGAUUGACACUGCAGCUAUCCACUCCCAACACUCCAUCCACAACGUUAAAGCCCAACACUAAUUACAAGAGGACUGGGGUCCGUUCAAGAGGGGGCGAUGUUCUGACAAAAUGUUUCUGAUUUAGAAAUGAGACGAGUGGACAUGAUUCUGUCCCAGAGGCCAGUCUAUUCUACACAAGGUAGAAGUAUUCAUUAGGUACUGAACGGAAGAACAACAGACUGCAACGGGAAGAGACUACCUGGGCUCCAAUAAGAAGCGUUUUUUAAAACGUUUUUAAAAACGUUUUCAGUUGCAUGCCCUAAUGAGUGCAACCCUGUCAACUAACGUGUCCAUUUGUUACAAUGCUGUGUUGUCAGGUAUGUAAUGUCAAUGCUCCUAUCAAACCUAAAGGGUUGAAUGAAUGUGUUGUCAGGUAUGUCAUGUCAAUGCUCCUAUCAAACCUAAAGGGUUGAAUGAAUGUGUUGUCAGGUAUGUCAUGUCAAUGCUCCUAUCAAACCUAAAGGGUUGAAUGAAUGUGUUGUCAGGUAUGUCAUGUCAAUGCUCCUAUCAAACCUAAAGGAUUGAAUGAAUGUGUUGUCAGGUAUGCAAUGUCAAUGCUCCUAUCAAACCUAAAGGGUUGAAUGAAUGUGUUGUCAGGUAUGUCAUGUCAAUGCUCCUAUCAAACCUAAAGGGUUGAAUGAAUGUGUUGUCCCAUAGCGUGUUGCUGUAGAAGGUGAUUUGACCCAUCUGUUGUUGUCUGAAAGCUUCUAAUGGGGAAGGUUGUUUGGUAACACGUUACGUAAGAGCCAACUGGUAUAAUGCCUUAUAACUUGUUAUAAGCAUGUAUGCACCUUUUAUAAAAGUGUCACAGGCACUACAUGUUCAUUCACUUUCUAUGGAGUGAUUGGCACUGCUCCAAUUCCAGACAUAUAGUACUCCUUCAUCAUGGGUAGUACUCCUUCAUCAUGGGUAACACUCCUUCAUCAUGGGUAACACUCCAUCAUGGGUAACACCGACCAGUAUAAUGCCUUAAACUUGCUAUGAGCUUAUGUGAGCAUAUUAUAAAGUGAAUCAUCUGAUUCUA
This is a non-coding RNA of Oncorhynchus mykiss (rainbow trout), 3542 nucleotides long. The record is from RefSeq and is a predicted model, not a curated record. Lineage: Eukaryota; Metazoa; Chordata; Actinopteri; Salmoniformes; Salmonidae.